Long non-coding RNA from Coturnix japonica (Japanese quail), 1182 nucleotides. RefSeq lists it as uncharacterized. The record is from RefSeq and is a predicted model, not a curated record. NCBI's taxonomy places the organism in Eukaryota, Metazoa, Chordata, Aves, Galliformes, Phasianidae.
GUUCUGCAGAUCAAGCCUGGACAAGUGGGGCAGGUUGGCGAGCGAUGCAGGGACUGUCACCAGAAGAUUGCUGUGAAGAUGGAGCCGCCGCAGAGACUUCAAAUUGGCUGCAGAAAACAGGUACCUAAAGAAUCCGGGAUUCUUGAUAGCUGAUUCCCAGAGAGAUCCAGUUCUGUGCAGCUGUGCAGAUUUCCAACCUCUUCAGGGAGAAGUUCCAAUGCAUUUUCUGAGAGAUCCAGUUCUUCCAGUGCUGUCAGCUCCCCAAUGCUCCGAGCUGUGCAAAAAAAAUGCUCUUCUUCUAGAGGAUGGAUAAAGAAAUGCAUCAACCUAACCGGGCUCCAAAGACUGGUCCACACGCAGCUGUAGAGGCAAAGGAAAGUUAUAAAUGUCUAGAUGCUGAUUCUUGUUGAAAUCCGCAUGCAGCUCUGAGCGAGACUAAGAGCCGAUACCCCAGCACAGGGCAAAAAAGCUCUAAGGAAUCUUGUUCUGCAGAUGUGGAAAGAUGGCUAAACACCAACACGAAGCUAAUUGAUGGGGUCCAGGAACUCACCUUUGAGCACCAGGGACUUCAGGCGCUUCAGAUGCGGAAGGAUGCUCAGCGCGGCGUCGAGCAGGUGAUUGUUAGUGCUGAGCCGGAGGAGCUCCACCUGCACCACGUCUGCCUGUUGCCUCUCGAACAGCCAGAGCAGCUGCCAGCAGCCAUCCGGAUAAAGAUCCAGAGUCAGCCUGUUGUCUGCCAAGCAGCAGCCAGUGAGUGAAGGAGCCCCCGGAGCCCCCUCCCCAUCCUUGUCCCCGAGCUUCAGCAGUUCUGCCAUCUUCUGCAUCUUGUCCAUCGGGGCCAGACAUGCUCCGACUUGCUAGGUGGGCAGGCACCGGCAGGCUGCCGGGAUGGGGAAGAGGAGAAAGGAUGGUUCUGAAAGAGAGCAGAUGUGCACAGUGAUGGCCUCCUGCCCCAGCACAGGGUGGCUGGUAACUGCUUAAAGCCGCAACAAGAAGGCAGGAGGUGUGUUGUCAAAAGCUUUGUGGGCAGAAGGGACAGAAACACAGGGGCUCUGUAGGGGCUCCUGCUAAAGAACACAUCUAAAUUUUCCCAGCUGAUUUUUUCCAACUCAGGGAAUGGAGAAAAUAUGUGUUGCUCCAGUUAUCCAUCAUAAUAAACAGCAAUAGGAACUUUAAAACGUA